The sequence is a small nuclear RNA, 135 nucleotides long. Its record names the gene U1. It matches the Rfam family "U1 spliceosomal RNA". From Rfam's summary of the family: U1 is a small nuclear RNA (snRNA) component of the spliceosome (involved in pre-mRNA splicing). Its 5' end forms complementary base pairs with the 5' splice junction, thus defining the 5' donor site of an intron. There are significant differences in sequence and secondary structure between metazoan and yeast U1 snRNAs, the latter being much longer (568 nucleotides as compared to 164 nucleotides in human). The record is from Ensembl.
AUACUUACCUGGGGAGAUACUGUGAUCAAGAAGGCGAGGCGAGGCCAUUGCACUCCGGCUGUGCUGACCCCAAAUGUGGGAAUCUCAACUGAAUAUUUUCUGGUGGUUGGGGGACUGCGUUCAUGCUCCCCUGAU